RNAcentral lists this long non-coding RNA (250 nucleotides) under Oryza sativa (Asian cultivated rice). Its description in RNAcentral is "long non-coding RNA (OSAT_LNC000982)". Lineage: Eukaryota; Viridiplantae; Streptophyta; Magnoliopsida; Poales; Poaceae. The record is from RNAcentral.
GCGGUUAGGAGGCCGCCGCAGGGUGGCGUGGUGGUGGUGGUGGCGGCGGCGAGCAAUUGCGCCAUCGGAUGGCUGCGACGCAUCAAGCAGCCAAAAGGCGGAGAGCACGGCCUCCACCAGGUCACACCGAGUACCACUGCCCCAACGCCGCGCGCCUCCUUGCUCCUAGCUCCCCGGGGAUUGGGCGCACCUCACGUGGCAGCGGAGGCCGGAGGGCCCCAUGCGUCGCUGACAACAUGGACCCAGUGAG